ACGGCCAUACCAUGCUGAAUAUACCAGUUCUCGUUAGAUCACCGAAGUCAAGCAUCAUUGGACGCGGGUGGGUGACCACCUUGGGAACACCGCGUGCAGU
This 100-nucleotide ribosomal RNA is filed under the name Caerostris darwini. The record is from RNAcentral. Lineage: Eukaryota; Metazoa; Arthropoda; Arachnida; Araneae; Araneidae.